GACGAACGCUGGCGGCGUGCUUAACACAUGCAAGUCGAACGGAAAGGCCUCUUUCGGGGGGUACUCGAGUGGCGAACGGGUGAGUAACACGUGAGUAACCUGCCCUUGACUUUGGGAUAACUUCAGGAAACUGGGGCUAAUACCGGAUAGGAGCUCCUGCUGCAUGGUGGGGGUUGGAAAGUUUCGGCGGUUGGGGAUGGACUCGCGGGGUAUCAGCUUGUUGGUGGGGUAGUGGCUUACCAAGGCUUUGACGGGUAGCCGGACUGAGAGGGUGACCGGCCACAUUGGGACUGAGGUACGGCCCAGACUCCUACGGGAGGCAGCAGUGGGGAAGAUUGCACAAUGGGUGGAAGCCGGAUGAAGCAACGCCGUGGGCGGGAUGACGGCCUUCGGGUUGUAAACCGCUUUCGCUCAUGACGAAGCUUUGUGUGACGGUAGUGGGUAAAGAAGCACCGGCUAACUACGUG
This 467-nucleotide ribosomal RNA is filed under the name uncultured bacterium. Its description in RNAcentral is "partial 16S ribosomal RNA". It matches the Rfam family "Bacterial small subunit ribosomal RNA", at positions 28 to 507 of the family's 1533-position model. The record is from RNAcentral.